RNAcentral lists this long non-coding RNA (3170 nucleotides) under Mus musculus (house mouse). RNAcentral describes it as "long non-coding RNA chr18:69567592-69570762". Lineage: Eukaryota; Metazoa; Chordata; Mammalia; Rodentia; Muridae. The record is from RNAcentral.
UGUGCCACAUCUGGCGACCUUGAGUCACUGUGAAGGCUUGGCACAAGAUGAUAUAAAGCAUCAUCCACAAAGGUCUUUAGAGCCAUGGAAGAAGAGAAGACAGGCUCUCUGGAGGGAUGACCCAGGUACUUUGGUUAAGGAAAGACUGUGGGAAAUGAUACUUGAGCUCCCUCUCCUGCUGCAGAAGGUUGUCCUGGUUUCUUCCCACACGGUAACUCGCUACCCUUGCAGCCCUGUCCCACUAUCUCAUACCCCUUCUCGUCUGAAGGGACUUCAGCAAUGAAGCUGUGGUGGUGCUUGAAGCCACCGAUCACUCCCCAUUUCCAGCCUUUGGAAUCUACAUGUGAACUUCUUGUCUGCUUAGAUCUCUGGAUCUUGAUCGUCUACUUUAAACCAUAGUUCCUUGUGAUCUUGGCACUUGGCAUCUCUACUACCCUUUCCAGCAAGUUUCUUGUUUGUGAAUAGCCCAAUAAUCACACCAAUUGAGCCAUGUAUUAAUGCAGAGAAAAAAUGAACCAUAUUAAAUUACAGCUUAGGAGAAAUGAUCCACACUUAAAAAAAAAAAAACCUAAAAAUUAACAUAGUAGAAUUAAAGUCUAGAAAGGAACAAAUUCCAAAGUGUACCACUUAAAAAUAUUCUUAUCAAAUGCACAGAAAAAGGAGCAGAUGCCGUUUGGAAAUUGUAUCGUGCCCACUAACAUGUAAACAUUCAAAGCCUUCAUCUUCAAAUUGUAAUCAUCUACAUUUUAUCAGAAAGUAUGAAGAGUUACAGCUUUGGAAUUCAGACAGUUGUGGAGUUGGUCUCCGCAUUAACUGUGAACCUUCUCAUAGGCUCCUUCAGUGUUUCUGAAACAUUGUAAGAACCUGGAAAUAUGAAGGUUUACCCUGUGAGCUAUUUUAUGGUCUCUGUCAUCGCCAGUGAGAUUUUUUCACAAACUAAAUUUUUCAGUAAAAUCUAAUUUCCGUGUUGAAUUGUAGUUCUGGUUUAUUUAUUUAUGUUUAAUUCAGGAGGAACUGACAAGCUUUAAGUGGUCCGAGAUAAUUUUGGAUGCGUGGAUCCUGAGGAAAAGAUCCUAAAAUAAGGCUGGAGCAUCUCCAAGAAAAUUUGAGGCAUGAGUGGGUCCUUAGGUGGAUUUGAGAAAACAAAACCGUAGCACGUAUUUGAUACCAUGAUACCAUAUGAUCCCCAAGCAUCAUGAAUCCUUAGGUAAAAUACAAUCUUUCUGUCUGGACUUAACUCUAUUUUUAUAGAAAGAUUAUCAGAUACAUCAGUGAAAGUGGAAAAUAUUGACAGUAUUUAUUUUCUUGGAUUUUUAAAAAAUCACAUUAAAAAAUUGAAGAUUUUAAAUAUACUAGUAAAUUCAUACUUUCAAGUGUUUUGUCAAAUGAUUUCUCAAGAGAAAUUGCUAACUUGUUUAUUUCUUAGUAGGAGCCCAGAAGUUAUAUGGUUGAAAAAUACACUAUUUUAAAACAUGCUGGCCAUCAUGCCUUUUGACAGUUGUCUUAAGGAAAUUACAGACACAUUGUUCUGUAUCGUGUGACACAUUUUCAUAUCAACACAUUUUAACCCAAGCAGAAAUACAAUCCCUUCUUAGUAUGAUUAUGGCAAUAUUAAAUGUGACAUGAGUAAACUAUCUAUCAGCUACCUGGACUAGGGCUUGUGUCGGGAACUCCAGAAGCAGCUGGUCUUGUAAGAUAGACUAGAAGGUGUCUUCAAGGUUAUUUUCUUGUAGUGAUGCACACAACCGUAGUGAUGAUGCACACAGCCGUCAUGGUUUACAUUAACAGCAGGUCAGCUCCAAGCAUCAAUUUUGAACUUGGUGUGCUCACAUUCUAGCUAAAAAUACUAAAAUAUGAGAUUUGAUUACAUAAAUGGCGUCAAUAAUUUCUGAAAAGAUACAGUAAGGAAGGAGAUACAAUUAAAUCGUGCAAAUAGGACAAGAAAUAUCCACCCAGUUUAUACAACAUAUAGAACACAGCACCAUGGAUUCUGUAAGAGCCGAGAAAAUCAUUGUCACGAACUAUUUAUUUUUUCAUGCAGGAGAUGCAGAAUUCACUAAUCCACUCUUAAGCUUUAAGUUCAGUAAUGUGUUUUUCUGGACACCAAUCUCAUCCUCUCUAUUGCUUUUAGAGGCUAAGUAAAACGUUAAGUUUUGUAUGAGCUUCUGGGGUAUGAAGUAAAUACAGGAGGACUGUAUACUCUUUGCAUUGGAGACUCAGUAUUUCAGAAAGCACAGACAGGAAAUAUGCACCAUUUGGCAUUUGGCAUUCCAGGCUUCCAGAAGUUUCCUUAAAAGAUUUCAGUAUUGUUGGGAAUUUCAGAAUAAUCUUUCCUGCAACUUUGGAACACACUUUCUCCCCUUCUUCUAGAGACUGCCGGUGUGCAUAUUUUAAAUCUGAAGAGGAAAAAGAAAGAUAAAAGUCGGCAGGACAAAAAUGAAGACUUGCCACAGAGGGCAGAUUCCUGUAUCUGUCUACUCAGAGCUUGUCUUUGCAAAUUAAAAAGUUAUAGACUUCAGAAUCUCCAAGGAAGCCAGACCAUUUCAUUCCUCCUGCCAGAAGAGAGUAUGUGUGUGUGUGUGUGUGUGUGUGUGUGUGUGUGUGUGUGUGUGUGUGUGUGCACGCGUGUGCUUUUCGCGCACUCACAGUUUGGGGGCAGGAGGCUGCUUUUUUCUUCUCAGUUGCCUCCCUUAAGGUAGGCGUGCAACAUAAUGCCCCGAGCCUUCUCCAGUGCACAUGACUCUUUGUGAUUAAGUUUUCAGACUCAGUGUUACCUAUUAAGAUUUACCAAGAUGUCCUUUAAGAGCUCAGCAGCGAGAACAAUACAUCUGUGCUCCCGUGUUGAGAAAAGAGAAAUACGUUUUAGGGAACUGUCAGCUUGCACUUUCUUUCUCACUUCCACUGAAGAGCAGCAUAAUUUGGUGUGGAAAUUUGAACUCUUAGCGGUUUAAUUACAGACACUGGCUGCAGGGCUCCUUUACCUCAGGAGGAGGAUGGUCCUGGGACUUUCAUGUAGUUUGCAAUGUUAAAGCUUGUUUUGGAGCAUCUGGCUUCUCUAUGGAUUUCUUGUUUAUGGACAUACAGAGAUGGGGACAGGAUAUUUGGUUGGGAGCCAUUUCCUUCUAGCUAUUAAAAGUUCACAGACUGAGCAGUGCUUAGAUUUUAACAGC